CUUCAACGACCCCAGGUACAACGGCCGUUCGCGGUCCCGACCCCGACCGUAGGUGGCGAUCAGCGCCUGCGCCUC
Molecule: antisense RNA, 75 nt
Filed under: Embleya hyalina
Lineage: Bacteria; Bacillati; Actinomycetota; Actinomycetes; Kitasatosporales; Streptomycetaceae
Description: ASpks TB sRNA
Rfam family: ASpks TB sRNA
Source: RNAcentral